GUGCACCAGGCGCGAAACCUCCGCAAUGCGGGAAACCGCGACGGGGGACCCCGAGUGCCGUGGCAACGCCACGGCUUUUCCGGAGUGUAAAAAGCUCCGGGAAUAAGGGCUGGGCAAGGCCGGUGGCAGCCGCCGCGGUAAUACCGGCGGCCCGAGUGGUGGCCGCUAUUAUUGGGCCUAAAGCGUCCGUAGCCGGGCCCGUAAGUCCCUGGCGAAAUCCCACGGCUCAACCGUGGGGCUUGCUGGGGAUACUGCGGGUCUUGGGACCGGGAGAGGCGGGGGGUACCCCUGGGGUAGGGGUGAAAUCCUAUAAUCCCAGGGGGACCGCCAGUGGCGAAGGCGCCCCGCUGGAACGGGUCCGACGGUGAGGGACGAAGGCCAGGGGAGCAAACCGGAUUAGAUACCCCUGUAGU
Molecule: ribosomal RNA, 413 nt
Filed under: uncultured microorganism
Description: bacterial SSU rRNA
Rfam family: Archaeal small subunit ribosomal RNA
Source: RNAcentral